GAUGAAGAACGUAGCAAAAUGCGAUAAGUAAUGCGAAUUGCAGAAUUUCCGUGAGUCAUCGAAUCUUUGAACGCACAUUGCGCCCACUGGUAUUCCGGUGGGCAUGCCUGUUCGAGCGUCAUUAUCCUCCCUCAAAACUCCUGUUUUGGUGUUGGGCCGCGUUGGUCACCUCCGACCAACGGGCCUUAAAGACAAUGACGGCGUCCGUGGGACCCUCUUCGCAGUGAGCUUUUGUUAGCGCGCGUUGAGUUUAAAGGACCUUCCGGGCCGGCCACCUUUUAUCUAUUUUACAAGGUUGACCUCGGAUCAGGUAGGAAUACCCGCUGAACUUAAGCAUAUCAAUAAGCGGAGGA
Molecule: unclassified non-coding RNA, 353 nt
Filed under: soil metagenome
Description: partial contains 5.8S ribosomal RNA, internal transcribed spacer 2, and large subunit ribosomal RNA
Rfam family: 5.8S ribosomal RNA (bases 1-121)
Source: RNAcentral